UACAGAGGGUGCGAGCGUUGUCCGGAAUCACUGGGCGUAAAGGGCGCGUAGGCGGCCUGCUAAGUAGAGGGUGAAAUCCUGCGGCUCAACCGCAGGGCUGCCUUCUAAACUGUCAGGCUGGAGCACGGUAGAGGCAGAUGGAAUUCCCGGUGUAGCGGUGAAAUGCGCAGAUAUCAGGAAGAACACCUAUGGCGAAGGCAGCUCUCUGGGACGGUACUGACGCUGAGACGCGAAAGCGUGGGGAGCGAACAGG
This 253-nucleotide ribosomal RNA is filed under the name uncultured bacterium. RNAcentral's name for it is "partial 16S ribosomal RNA". It matches the Rfam family "Bacterial small subunit ribosomal RNA", at positions 524 to 776 of the family's 1533-position model. The record is from RNAcentral.